UCUAUGUCGGCGACCGGCGCACGGGUGCGUAACGCGUAUGCAACCUACCCAUUACAGGGGGAUAACACUGAGAAAUCGGUACUAAUACCCCAUAACAUCCAGGGAGGCAUCUUCUUGGGUUGAAAACUCCGGUGGUAAUGGAUGGGCAUGCGUUGUAUUAGUUAGUUGGUGGGGUAACGGCUCACCAAGACAACGAUACAUAGGGGGACUGAGAGGUUAACCCCCCCACAUUGGUACUGAGACACGGACCAAACUCCUACGGAAGGCAGCAG
RNAcentral lists this ribosomal RNA (272 nucleotides) under uncultured bacterium. RNAcentral's name for it is "partial 16S ribosomal RNA". It matches the Rfam family "Bacterial small subunit ribosomal RNA", at positions 82 to 354 of the family's 1533-position model. The record is from RNAcentral.